RNAcentral lists this ribosomal RNA (327 nucleotides) under uncultured eukaryote. RNAcentral describes it as "partial 18S ribosomal RNA". It matches the Rfam family "Eukaryotic small subunit ribosomal RNA", at positions 1470 to 1796 of the family's 1831-position model. The record is from RNAcentral.
CCCUUAGAUGUUCUGGGCCGCACGCGCGCUACACUGACGAAUGCAACGAGCUUAUAACCUUGGCCGAAAGGUCUGGGUAAUCUCCAAAUUUCGUCGUGAUGGGGAUAGAUUCUUGCAAUUAUUAAUCUUCAACGAGGAAUGCCUAGUAAGCGCAAGUCAUCAGCUUGCGUUGAUUACGUCCCUGCCCUUUGUACACACCGCCCGUCGCUCCUACCGAUUGAAUGGUCCGGUGAAGCGUUCGGACCGUGGCCUUUGGACGGUUCGCCGUCUGUUGGCUGCGGGAAGUUCGUUAAACCUUAUCAUUUAGAGGAAGGAGAAGUCGUAACA